AUGAGGUUCCCUGCUCAGCUGCUGGGGCUGCUGGUGCUCUGGAUCCCAGGAUCCAGUGGGGAUGUCAUGCUGAAGCAGACCCCACUGUCCCUGCCCGUCACCCUGGGACAGCCAGCCUCCAUCUCCUGCAGGGCCAGUCAGAGCCUCGUCAACAGUAAUGGAUACUUCUAUUUACAUUGGUACCAGCAGAAGCCAGGCCAGUCUCCACAGCGCUUGAUCUAUCAGGCUUCCAACCGGGACUCCGGGGUCCAGACAGGUUCAGUGGCAGCAGCUGCACCAGCCCAGGGCGGCAUGACCCGCACCGGGAUGGAGGUGAUGGACGUGCCCGCUGAGCAGUACGAGGGAAGGGAGAGCGGACCUGCACCCCAUCCACACCCUUCUGCCUGUGCCUCCUUUCAGAUCUUUGUGUUCAGUCCUUUCUCCCCUCAGGAGGAUCCAGUGCCUCCUCGCUACUGA
Non-coding RNA from Suricata suricatta (meerkat), 456 nucleotides. NCBI's taxonomy places the organism in Eukaryota, Metazoa, Chordata, Mammalia, Carnivora, Herpestidae. The record is from the annotation of a RefSeq genome assembly.